GCCUGCAGGGCGGGUCUGGGGAGGCAGCUGGCUCCGAGGCAAGGAUCUCUGCAGGCUGACCUCUCCCCUGAACUCCAAACUCACAUACCAGCUGCCUGCAUGGAUGCCUAAUGGAUAUCCCCAAACCGAAUGUGUCCCAGAUGGAACUCAAGCUCAUUCCUCCUGCCACUUUCCUGACCUCAGCAGAGGGCAAUCACAUUUUGGCAGUUCUUCCAAA
Molecule: long non-coding RNA, 217 nt
Organism: Nomascus leucogenys (northern white-cheeked gibbon)
Lineage: Eukaryota; Metazoa; Chordata; Mammalia; Primates; Hylobatidae
Exons: 2
Source: RefSeq, a predicted model, not a curated record